AUGCUAAGGGAAACAGAUAAAUGGCUAAGAAGUGGCUGCCUCUUUGAAGCCUUUCUAAUAUCAGGAGGCCCCAGAAGACUGCAGGAGAGAAGAUCUGCAGGUGGAGAAAAAAUAGGAUUGUUGCUGCUGCACAUAAAUUUCAGGAUUAUGAUCUGCAGAAUGGAUCCCAGAAAUGAGAGGAAAGCAAGGAGAAAGAUCAGAAGCUUUGAAAAUACCAGUAGAAAAAAUGGAGGGAACUGCAGUGACUGAACCUGGAGAAAACAACAGUAGGUGUUCACACCAUACCAUGGUGUGGGUCUUCAGACAGAGAAAAGGAAAAUGCAAAGGCAAUGUACUGCUUUCAGUAUACAGAGGUAAGACAAGAACUAGUAAAAAUAAUUUCCAGCAAGGCAGAUCCUUAAGUAUAUGGGGUAAAUUAAUUAUCAGUUAAGAUCUCUUCCUUUAUUUUCUAUUACUACUUUCCAGAAGUGGGCACAACUUUCAUUUCUUAUUGGAAUAAAUGUAUAUAGUAUUUUUUUUCUUCCUAUUUU
Long non-coding RNA from Anser cygnoides (Swan goose), 530 nucleotides. The record is from Ensembl. Lineage: Eukaryota; Metazoa; Chordata; Aves; Anseriformes; Anatidae.